CCUACGGGAGGUAGCAGUGAGGAAUAUUGGUCAAUGGACGAAAGUCUGAACCAGCCAAGUAGCGUGAAGGAUGACUGACCUAUGGAUUGUAAACUUCGUUUAUAAAGGAGUAAAAGGAGGCACGUGUGCCUUUUUGCAUGUACUUUAUGAAGAAGGAUCGGCUAACUCCGUGCAAGCAGCCGCGGUAAUACGGAGGAUCCGAGCGUUAUCCGGAUUUAGUGGGUUUAAAGGGAGCGGAGAUGGGAUGUGAAGUCAGUUGUGAAAGUUUGGGGCUCAACCGUAAGAUUGCACUUGAGACUGGCAGUCUUGAGUGCAGGAGAGGUAGGCGGAAUUCGUGGUGUAGCGGUGAAAUGCUUAGAUAUUACGCAGAACGCCGAUUGCGAAGGCAGCAUACCGGCGUCGAACUGACGCUGAGGCACGAAAGCGUGGGUAUCGAACAGGAUUAGAUACCCUUGUAGUC
This 460-nucleotide ribosomal RNA is filed under the name uncultured bacterium. RNAcentral's name for it is "partial 16S ribosomal RNA". It matches the Rfam family "Bacterial small subunit ribosomal RNA", at positions 338 to 795 of the family's 1533-position model. The record is from RNAcentral.